RNAcentral lists this ribosomal RNA (523 nucleotides) under uncultured bacterium. Its description in RNAcentral is "bacterial SSU rRNA". It matches the Rfam family "Bacterial small subunit ribosomal RNA", at positions 8 to 518 of the family's 1533-position model. The record is from RNAcentral.
AGAGUUUGAUUAUGGCUCAGGAUGAACGCUAGCUACAGGCUUAACACAUGCAAGUCGAGGGCAGCAUGAAACUUAGCUUGCUAAGUUUGAUGGCGACCGGCGCACGGGUGAGUAACACGUAUCCAACCUACCGUUUACUACGGGAUAGCCUUCUGAAAAGGAGAUUAAUACCGUAUGGUAUUCUAAAGUUUCAUGACAUUAGAAUUAAAGGUUUACCGGUAAUCGAUGGGGAUGCGUUCCAUUAGAUAGUAGGCGGGGUAACGGCCCACCUAGUCAGCGAUGGAUAGGGGUUCUGAGAGGAAGGUCCCCCACAUUGGAACUGAGACACGGUCCAAACUCCUACGGGAGGCAGCAGUGAGGAAUAUUGGUCAAUGGGCGAGAGCCUGAACCAGCCAAAAGUAGCGUGAAGGAUGACUGCCCUAUGGGUUGUAAACUUCUUUUAUAAAGGAAUAAAGUGGUCCACGUGUGGAUUUUUGUAUGUACUUUAUGAAUAAGGAUCGGCUAACUCCGUGCCAGCCGCCGC